CUUUAGAAAGCAGUAGACAUGCUUUUGGAUAAUGAAGAUAAAAUUUCCAUUGACAGAGUUGUUGAAGAGUUAGAGAACAGGCCUGAGCUACAGCAUGUGUAUUUGCACAAGCUCUUCAAGAGAGACCACCAUAAAGGCCAGCGGUAUCACGAGAAGCAGAUCAGUCUCUACGCUGAGUACGAUCGCCCCAAUUUACUGCCCUUUCUCAGGGACAGCACGCACUGCCCGCUCG
Long non-coding RNA from Calidris pugnax (ruff), 232 nucleotides. RefSeq lists it as uncharacterized. The record is from RefSeq and is a predicted model, not a curated record. Lineage: Eukaryota; Metazoa; Chordata; Aves; Charadriiformes; Scolopacidae. The transcript is spliced from 3 exons.